UCGAACUGUGGUUUCUUCAACUCAAAACCUUCUUAAAGUGUCCUAAUGCACUAUACUCAUUAGGUGGAGACUCUCCAAUUCCAAAACCCAAUUCUCGAAAGGGAAUAGAGUUGUCCUCCCAAAAUGUUGUGAACCCGAUUUCAACUCCUUUGAAAGAGGGGGCGUCGACAGCAUGACGACUCUGCUGGGGAUUUUCUUUUAGGCUUUUACCAUUGCAUGUUAUUUGUGAUUUUAUUGCUUCUUUAUUGCUUUUACUUAAAUGUAUUUAUCUCUUCUUCUAUGAAACUGACUUGUUUCUUGUUUCUUUUCUUAAAUGCUUUCUUUGCUUUUCUUUACUACUUUUGUAGUUACGAGAAAUUAUUAUAAUUAUUAUCUUAUGAGCGUGGAAAUACAUGAAAAAUCUGUUUCAUUCUUGUAAUUGCAUCUUCACUCGUGCCAAACAAAAUACCAUAGCAAUGCUUAUAAUGAGUGGUUGCGCCCUUCCAAUAUUAUCACCCCCUAAAUUUGGCAAAG
RNAcentral lists this long non-coding RNA (513 nucleotides) under Nicotiana benthamiana. Its description in RNAcentral is "long non-coding RNA (NBEN_LNC034473)". The record is from RNAcentral. Lineage: Eukaryota; Viridiplantae; Streptophyta; Magnoliopsida; Solanales; Solanaceae.